CUGGGAGCUGUCAAUCUAGGGUAGAACACAGUGCUUACAGACAGGAGUUGAGAGUGGCUUGUAUAACAUCCUCUGAGGAGGUGACGGCCAAGGGGGUCUGUCUCCCUUUCUGAGAGCCCAUCUGUGUCAUUCUUUCUCUUCCCAAUCAAAGGCCCCAUCAGCCUGUCACCAAGGGCACCUCGUCACAACAGGCGGUGCCUCACAGCUGCAAGACCAGAAGGAAUAUAGGUGCAUCAGUGCUGCCUUGUCAUACCAAUGGCAGCCUCCUGAAACACAAAAAUCAAGAAAUGAGGAACCAGAGAGAUAAAGCAGGUUCUCAUGACACCUGCCAACACUGUGUUUCACAGCGAAACCCCAAGGCAGUGGUAAAGAGGUCAUCGAAGAUCUUUCUUCAGGAGGAGUGGCCUCCGUGGUUUCCUGAGAAAGAUGUGAUCCCCAAAUCACAUGAUUUUCCAGCUGGAUUAGAAAGGAGAUUCAAUGGCAACUUUUCUAGCUCUUUUGUAUUUCAGAAAAUGAGACUGAAGCCCAGAGGACUGUCCUGCUCAAGGCUUCCCAGAAACUGGUAACAGAAGAGUCCCUUCUAGUUCGACCUAACAUUUUUUUAAACCAGGCUGUCCACCGAGCCAUCAUUUAGUUUUUCCAAUUCGCUCGUAUUUCAGAGCCAGAAGAUUCUGUUAACACUUCUGAUUUCUUCUUCCCAGAACUCUGUCUGAAUCCUCUGAUGACCUCAAGACAACCGUUGGAUCAAGGGGAUUUCAUAUAUGUCUGUUGCAGGAAGAGUAUAGGAGCCAAUAAAAAAUUCAAUGUGUGCUUCAGUGUUUAAACUUUUAUCACAGUAAAAUAAGCAUUGCCAUUAAUGUAUGCCUUCAUCACCACCCUCAGUUAGAACUCGUGUAUCCCGUCCCGUCCCAUCCCAUCCCAUCAUCCUAGCCAGUUUCUAGAGCAGUUCUGCAAGUGCUAUUUUUGAGGGUCUUUACCGGGUGUGAAAAACAAUUAGAGUGAAUGCUCCUGGAAAGUACCAUUCGAGGGGAAGGCAGGAGUGUGCAAAUCUCACAGUGCGUCUUUAUUCACCUUGUUUACCCUGACACCAUGAAACUGCUGGCUCUGCACCAAAGUCAAAAUGGCUGUGACAGGUCAAUGUUUGGAACCGAUUCAGGACAUUGAAGUAACCAUGAAUGUGCAACUCAGAAAAGAGAGCUUCCAAAAGUGCUCAGAAUACAGUAAGAGUGGGGUAAAUGUAUUCACACAUAGGGCGAGUAUUUUGAGAAGGA
RNAcentral lists this long non-coding RNA (1271 nucleotides) under Fukomys damarensis (Damara mole-rat). RNAcentral's name for it is "lncRNA (ENSFDAG00000032187.1)". Lineage: Eukaryota; Metazoa; Chordata; Mammalia; Rodentia; Bathyergidae. The record is from RNAcentral.